AUAUAAUAAAACACAAUCAAUUUUGAAUCCUUCUCCACUUAAAAAGUUGAGAAACCACAACAAAGGCUGAGAUUUCAUCUAAGUUAAUCUAAAGGUCAGAUUUCAAUUGAGACACAAAAAAAAAAAAAAAAAUUACCGCCCAAAUCAAAACCCCCACACUCUCCUUCCCGUGUACUCUUCUCCUCUCUGUCUCCUUAAAUGCCACUCUCUGAUUGAUAAUAACGUCACUCUCUUCCUCGCUUUGUCUGAUGAUAAUAACGCCACUCCUCUUCCUCUCUUUGUCUCUUUAACGCCACCCCCCAAAUCAAGAUUGCUUGCUAAGCGAACUCAACUCCGGUGAGUUACGUCGUCAUCAGACCACGGCGCCGGUCACAAGGUAUUCAUAAUCUCUCCGUCUCAUAAUGUCUUCAUUUGCAAAAUAUGAAUUCUCAUCAUCUCUACACUCUUAGGAGGUUCAAACCCUCUUUGUGUUAUGCCAUCUGCUAUACUAUUUCAUACCGACGGACCGUGAGAUUAAACCCUCUUUGUGUUUUGAUCUUUAAAUAACCCUCAAGGUGUUUGUCUUUAUGCCUGAAAGAAAAUAAACUAAGCAAACUGUUUUGGUGUUACUAAAGUUACUCUGUUUUGGUGUUUUGGGUUUUCCUGAAUCCAAAGCUUCAAAUUUUUGAUAUUUUUAAGAACUGAAAACAGAGUAUUCGGCUGGGUUUUAAGGUUGUCUCCGAAUUUUCAUUCCAACUCUGUUUUCAAGUUUGUUUUCUUCUUUAAUUUUUCAAUUUUGGGAAGAAAAGAAACUAUUUUGUCUUUCUUGGACUGGGUUUUCUUUAAUUUUAAUUUUAAUUUUUUUUUUUUAAAAAGAAAGUUCGGAUAGGGGGGAAUUACCUGCAUUUUUUUAUAUUGCAAGAAAAGGGCCUUACUAUGUUUAAAGCUACGUAACUCUAUUUUUUAACAUUUCUUUUUAAAAAAUUUGUUUUUGUUCCAAGUGAGUUAAAAGUUUAGAAUUUUUUAGGUACUCUUUUGGGACUUUAGUUUUUUUAUGCUAAUAUGCUAUUUUAGCAACUUCAUUGGAAGGGUUUAACUUCAUUAGAAUAUGUCCAAGUUAGCAGUUAUGUUUAAUAAUUUAAGUUUUAUAUUGGUUGCAUAGGAAUUCUAUAAUUUAAGUUUUAGGUUUAACUCGAGUUUGUUUUAGAAUUGAUUUCGCUUAUUUGAUCAGAGUUUGUAGAGUUUAAAAGGAUGUAGAAGUUCAAACCAAUUUACCUGUUUACUCAAUUUACCUAUUUACUCAAACAGCAUGUAGAAGUUCAAGCCAAAGAGCUCAUCUAGAGGAAACAACACAGAAAGAAGGUGCAAAAUGAUAAUGUAAGUUAACAUAUAUACUUAAUAGACAUUUAUUAGCAAGUUGGUGUUUUAUAAUCUCAUUUUUUCUAUUUGGCUGCUGACAUGAUUAUGUGACAUUACGGUGAGGAAUAUGUAGGAUCAUACAAUGAUAUAUUUUAAUAAAAAAUAACUAUAUAGUUCUUUAAAUAAUAUAUUUAAUAUCUAGAAAAAAGAGAGAAGAAAAUAAGUAAAAUAAAAA
This 1573-nucleotide long non-coding RNA is filed under the name Panax ginseng (ginseng). Its description in RNAcentral is "long non-coding RNA (PGIN_LNC011389)". The record is from RNAcentral. Lineage: Eukaryota; Viridiplantae; Streptophyta; Magnoliopsida; Apiales; Araliaceae.